ACUGUCUGACUCAAGACUAGACGACAACUAGGAUGGAAACUCUACCAGAUUGGAAAAAGAGUUUGUGGGUUUUUUAUACCUAUGCUAUAAGAUUUAACAUUUCUAAAGGCAUUACUGAAAUACAUUUACAUCUCAUGUAAUGGGAUUAAAUUCUCAGUGUCUCCAAAACUUUCCAGGCAAACCCUGCCCCUAAGGUACAUUUGCCUCAUGCAGCUUAGAAAUCCGAGAUUGUUCUAUGGAAGUUCUUUUGCUGUAAGUUAGAGAAGAAUUUUGACUGGUAUUUUAUCUCGUUUAUAUUUCCAAGGAAGACUUCUACUAUUGGGGACUGAAAUGCAGUACUUAUUUUAUUUGUGCAAUUAAUAAAUGUUAAUGACUGAGUUAUUUUUAUAUGCACAUUAGAUUUCUAGUUGAACAGCUAACUUCAUACUGUCAAAAUUGUUAGGAAGGCAUUAUUUAUGUAGUAAAGACUGUAGAAUAAAGAACCAUCCCUUUGCUAAAAUUUGACAUGUGGGAAAUCUUUGUUUUAAUGCAGUUAUUUUAAUUAUGAACCUUAAAAAUAUUGAUUUUCUUAGCAUGCAAAAUAAUUACCUUACCUUUUAAAUCUUUUUUUCCCCUAAGAGACUAAAGGUGAUAAAAACUUGCAAAGUAAUAAUGAACAUGGAAAAUCAAACACAAGUCAUCUUCUGGGAAAGUAAAUAAUCUGUUUCUUAAUGUUAUUUCUUCAUCGAGAACCAGGUCUCAUUAAAUAGAAAUGACAAAAGAGCAUUUCUUAUCAUAGAGCAGUCUCAGCCAGGACCUUUUAUUUCCUUUUCUUCUGUGAUACAACUCCCAGGACUCCCCCAGAGAGAAGAUACUGAGAGAGAUUAGGAUGCUAUAUGCACGGGGGAAGGCCCUGCGUUCAUCUUUUCCUAGGCACACGUGCGUUUGAAUGCAUGUCUUCUGUUGUACACCACGGGUCAAGCAAUCUCCAGAACAAAGUGCAAAUACAUCAGUAUCUUUUUCUUUCUUUUUUCUUUCUUUUUUUCCUUUUCCUUCCUUCCUAUCUCUUUCUUUUCCUUCCUUCCUUCCUUCCUUCCUUCCUUCCUUCCUUCCUUCCUUCCCUUAUUUCUUUCUUUUUCUUUCCUUUUCUUUAUUUUCUUUCAUCUUUUCUAGGGCCGCACCUGCAGCAUAUGGAUGUUCCCAGACAGCAACAUGCGAUCUGAGACCUACAGCACAGCUCACAGCAAUGCCGGAUCCUUAAACCCCUGAAUGAGGCCAGGGAUGGAAACCGCAACCUCAUGGUUCCUAGGCAGAUUUGUUAACCACUGAGCCACAUUGGGAACUGCUUUUUCUUUCUUUUUGAUAAAAAGAGGAAUACUAUACACCCCACUUUUCCUCUCUGUUUUUUUUCACUUAGCAAGCCAUAGUAAUCUACAGAGAGAGUUCACAAUUCUUUCCAAAGCUGCACAGCAUUCCAUAAUGUAAAUAUACAAUCAUCUAUUCAACACUUGAAGUUUACAAGUGGUGCUCUGAUAAUAAAUCUUGAACACACAGGGUUUUUUUUACAUUUUUGCCAGUGCAUGUUUUAAAUAGAUCUCUGAAAGUAGACCUGUAGACUGAACACAUGAAGUGUGUGUUCAUUUUGCUAGGUAUUGUCAGACCAGCUAGAUCUAAAAGUGAUUGCUUUUUCACAGCUUCACAAAAAGAAUACACUGUCCGACUUUUAGGUUUUUCCUAUCUGAUAGCAAAGAAAUGACUAUUUCAGUGAGUUUUAGUUUGUGAUUUUCUUAUUAUGAGAGGCUGAACAGUUUUCUUAUUAUGAAAGGCUUAAGGUUAAGGUCCAUUUGCAUUACUUUUUCUAUGAACUAUCUAUUUCUAUAACGUUGUUAGCCUUUGUUUUCUUUGUUUUUAGAAGUCUUUAAUAUAUUAGGAAUAUCAACUCUUUGCGAUGUAAGUUAUCAGUUUCCUUUUUUUUUUUUUUUUUUUUUUUUUUUUUUGUCUUUUUGCUAUGUCUUUGGGCCGCUCCCGCGGCAUAUGGAGGUUCCCAGGCUAGGGGUUGAAUUGGAGCUGUAGCCACCGGCCUACGCCAGAGCCACAGCAGCGCGGGAUCCGAGCCGCGUCCGCAACCUACACCACAGCUCACGGCAAUGCCGGAUCGUUAACCCACUGAGCAGGGGCAGGGACCGAACCCGCAACCUCAUGGUUCCUAGUCGGAUUCGUUAACCACUGCGCCAUGACGGGAACUCCCCAUUUUUUCAUUUAUCUUUUUUCUUUGCUCAUGUACGUUUUGCAAGAGAUUUUCUUGUUAAAUUUUGAUGUAAUUAAGUUAAAUUUAAAUAUUUUCUCCUGUUGAUUUUGAAUUUUAAGUUUUAACUAGUAAGAUUUUCUCUGCUCCUAAAUUAGAGAAAGCCAUAUGUAUUUUUUUCUAGUACUUGUAUAAUUUCACUUCUUAAUAUUACAUUAUUUAAUGCAGUUAAGAGUUUAUAGUUUGUGGUUAAUACAGUUUUAUUGUUUCUUUUCCUGUGUGUGAGGCUUUCCAGUUUCAUCAGCAUCAUCUAUUAAAAAGUCUAACUUUCGGAGUUCCUUCUGUGGUACAAUAGAAUGGGUGUUGUCUCUGCAGCAACAGGGCUCAGGUUCGAUACCUGGCCCGCGCAGUGGGUUAAAGGAUCUGGUGUAGAUUGCAACUGUGGCUUGGAUCAGAUUCCUGGCCUGGGAACUCCAUAUGCUGCAGGACAGGAUAGAUAGAGAGAUAGAGAGAUAGAUAAGUAGAAUUUUUCCCCCAAGAUUUGAGAUGCUGCCAUAUUGUACUCAAAACUUCAUAUACUAAGACUAUUUCUGGAUUGUCCAUUCUGAUCUAUCCAUCUGUCCCUCUAUUGAUGCAUUACCAUGGGCCUUAUUUUUCUUAAACAGAGGCCAUAUAGUGUGUGUCAGUGUGUAGUGGGGCUACACUCCUAUCAAUGCAGUGAUUUCUUUUUCAGUGUUUUUUUUUUGGGGGGGGGACUGGCUUCUUGCUUUUUUUCCAAAUAAAUUUUAUAAUCAGCUUAGUUACAAAAAUUUGAGCAUCAAAAAUAAAACCGAGAAAUUAGAAUUGCAUUAUGUUUAUAAAUUAGUAUAGAGAAGACUAAUAUAUUUAUGAUGUUUGGUUUUCCAAAAAAAAUGUGUUAUUUAUUUAUUUAUUCAAGUCUGCAUAUAUGCCUUUUAGGAGUACAUUAUGGUUUUAUAAAUGUAAAUUUUGUUUUGUUGAGUUGGAUGAGAUAUUUGUAUAUUUUAGAGAUUAGGCCCUUGUCAGUUGUGUCAUUGACAAAGAUUUUCUUCUAUUUUGUGUGUUGUCAUUUCAUUUUUUUAAAUGGUUUUCUUUGUUGUGCAAAGGCUUUUGAGUUUAAUUAUGAGGUCCUACUGUACAGCACCGGGAACUAUGUCUUUUCUCUUGGGAUAGAACAUGAAGGAAGAUAGUAUGAGAAAAAGAGUAUAUAUGUAUAUGACUGGGUCACUAUGCUGCACAGCUGAAUUUGGCACGACAUUAUAAAUCAAUGAUACUUUAAAAAAUUAUAUUUUUGGACAUUGAUUGCUAGCUUAAAUCUAAAUGUUUUAUUUAUGUAUGCAUUUAUUUAUUUACUAUUUUAAUUUUUAUUUUGGCUACAGUGUGCUGAAGCUUUAUUUGGGGUCUCAGUUCCUAGACCAGGGAUUAAACCACAGCUGCUAAAUCCUAACCACUUGACCACCAGGGAACUCCAUAAGUGUUUUGUUUUUAUGUCUGAUAUUUUAAAUGGCAAACAUAAAAAUAAAAUUUCUGGUUUUCCUGGUAAGAUUCUGCUUCUUAGAUUGAUACAUAUACAUUUUGUUGUACAGUUCCUUACACUAAGGUGGUGACCAUCAGUUCCUAUUUUAUGAAUGGAUGUUGUAUUUUGUAACAUCUUUUUUAAAAUGUAAAUACCCUUUCUUUUCUAGAAAUAUUUUCUUUGCUUAGCUUCCAGAAUUAUUUUGUUUCUUGUCCUGCCACCCUGACUUUCCUUUCUUUCCAGCCCUAAAAUAUGUGUUCUCCAGAGUCAGAUGAUUUGGAACCCAUGCCUCUAUCAUCUUACCUCCCUUGUCCAGGCUCCCAACUUACAUAGCCUUGAUAACUGGCAACUGUAUAUCUGCUAGACUGAGAUAAAUAUAACCACUUAUACAUCUUCUUCCUUUAAAUAUCUGAGAGCUCUCUUAGACCAAACUAAAUUCUUUCUUUACCUCAGAACUGCUGUUCAGCCCAUUAUCCUCCUCUCAGUUAUCUUAUGUUUCAUUGAACACUUAGAUGGGGCAAACUAUAUGCCAGACAUUAUUCUAAGUGGUUUAUUUAUUUAUUUGUUUAUUUUUGGCUUUUUUUUUUUUUUAAGUGCACCCAUGGCAUAUGGAAGUUCCCAGGCUAGGGGUGGAAUCAGAGCUAUAGCUGCCGGCCUACACCACAGCCACAGCAAUGCAGAAUCCGAGCCAAGUCUGUGACCUGCACCAUAGCUCACAGCAACACUGAAUCUUUAACCCACUGAGCAGGGCCAGGGAUCAAACCCACUACCUCAUGGAUGCUAGUCAGAUUCGUUUCCGCUGAGCCACUAUGGGAACUCCUUGUUUAUUAACUAUUAAAUCGUUUAACACUCAUAAUAACUCUGUGAGGUAGUCACUAUUGCCAUUUUCAUUUUAUCAAUUAGGAGAACUCAGAUGGCUUGUGUGGUAUCUCAGUAAAUGAAAUCUCUAAGGUAAAUCUGGGCAGUUUGACUGAAAAGUGCAUUUUUCUGUUACAGAGUGAAUUUUUCUGCUUGUCCAAGCCAGUGAACUUGGAUUUGUCCUUAACUCUUCUAUUACUUUUGCACUGCAGAAAUAAUAUACUAGCAAAUCUAUUGACUCUUCCAUCAAGAUAUAUCCAGAAUCUGAACACUCUUUACCUCAUUCAUUCUAAACAUCUUGGUUUAACACACCAUAAUUUUUUGCCUGUAAUAUUGAAAUAAUCUCCAGCCAGCUUCCUGCCCCUCACACCUUUUGCUUCUAUAGUAUAUUUUCCACAGGGCUUGUCUUGUCCCAUUUCAAAUACAUCAGACCUCCCCUGUUCUUGGCUCCAAAAUUUCUGUUGUCUUCCCAAAUUGAUAAACAGAUGGCCAAAGUUCUAAAAUGACUUAAUCUCCUACAUGACCCAACCUUGUUAAUCUCAUCACUCUGUCUGUGGCAUCCUUAUGGUGCCUUGAAUACACCAAUCACUCUCUCAACUCAGAGCUUUUACAAUUACUCUGCCCUCUGCCCCCAGAUGUCUGCAUUUAGCUCUAAUAUUUCUUUUGACUCUAUACUCAUAGGUCACCUUGUGAAAGAAAGAACUUUCUUAAAUGUCUUUUACUAAAAUAAAAAUUUCGCUCAUCACUCUCACCUACUUUUUAAAAAAAUAGCACUUAUCAUCAUCUUCAAACAUUAUAUAUCUGUAUCUUUACUUUAGGUUUUUAAAUUUUCAGCACACCCAAUUAGGGAUUUUAACUUUUUCGCUGUUAGAUCUCCAGUGCCUGAAAAGGUACUUGAGGAAAAUUAAGUGCUCAGUAAUUAUUGGAUGGGUGAAUAAUUAAGUAAUAAGCAUGAUUCCCUUAACUUAAUUGAUGACAACUCUUUUUAUGGAGCAUCCCACACUGAGGAAUGCUAGUGUUCUAGGAAACACACGUUUGGGAAACUGGGUUAAAUAUUAGACAAUGCUGCUUUUACUUAAUCUUGAGGGGAAGCUCAUCGACUUCUAUUUUGCUUUGAUUGUUGACCAGCUAAAUGAUGAUACUGAAUUGAGUGAGUUUUCUUCUACCUCUGUUUACUUGUGUACUAACUGCAUCUAGAAUAUAUUCCUUCUCUUUAUUUGAACUCAACCCCUAUGUGUUGUACAGAAUAAAUAUCCCUCAAAUAUUGGUCUACUUUUCUUUUCCAUUCAUAUUCAGCAUAUUCAACAGUGUUGGCUAAUAGCUUUCAACUCAUAAUCCAUCUCAUAGAUUCAUUUGAGGCUAAGAAUCGAUGUGUUGAGAUGGAUUGGGCGGCUUAGUUAGAUGGAGUGUCUUUGAUAAGCAAUGAUUGCCUAGGGCCAGAAGGGUCAGUGAUAGCAUCAGUGACACACAUUUUUCAUGUUUGCAUUGCCAGGUAAGCUCUUGAGAGAAAUUAACUUAUUCAUUUUUAAAAAUCCACUUAUUAUCUAACAUAGAACAUUGCUUGUAUAUUGCAUGUAAUGGAUACUCCAUACAUAUUUGUUCUUUGUGUGAUUAUUCUAUGAAUGCUAAAGGAAUACUCAUUUGUAUCCUGAUCACGAAUCUCAUCCCUCUGUUUCCUAGGCAACUUUUUCCUUUAUCAGAGUAAAAGAUCAUUAAUCCCCAAUAUAUUGCUAGAUAAAUCUUUGUGUGGCACCCAAAUGUCACCCGUUUAUAUAUCAUAAAAUUGAGUUCUGCAAGUUAUCACAUGAGAGAAAAUUAUCUCUUUUACCUGUAUACCUUUCUUGUGCAAAAUAAAAAUAAUUUAUAUUUUUCUUGGGGUGAACAGGUGUUAUAAUACUCCUCAAAAUGACUUAUAAGACACUGCUAACUUCCAGUAGCUCAGUGAGAAUUCUUGUUAAACUAAAUAGAGGUCCACUUAUCAUUUUCCUAACUGAUAAAAUCAUGUUGUUGACAAGAAUAAGAGAUAUAAGUGAAAAAUUUAUAGUGACUAAUUUUAGAAGAAAGUUUCCCAAUGGGUUGCCUCAUUC
This 6703-nucleotide long non-coding RNA is filed under the name Sus scrofa (pig). Its description in RNAcentral is "lncRNA (ENSSSCG00000054685.1)". The record is from RNAcentral. Lineage: Eukaryota; Metazoa; Chordata; Mammalia; Artiodactyla; Suidae.